GGGUGUCCUGGUGCAGUGCCAGCCCCGUUUGGGGACAGCUGAUGCCUUUUGGCGCCACAUAAAAGCAGAGGCCAGACAAAAUAAAAUGAAUGAAAAGCAAUUCUAUUUAUUGAACAGUCUUGUCAUGGGGUGACUGGACAAUAAGAGGCAAGAUGGAGGACUUAGGGCAUUGUCCCUUUCUCCUUCUUCCUCUUCUUCUUCUAGGGUUUUUGGGUAAUAAUAAGUGAUUGGAUAAAGAAUGCUGCAGUGCAGCACACAGGUGUUGGGUCAUUGGGUCACUAAGAAAAAUAAUUUACUUGGCAUUUUUUAAAUUUUGGAUAAACAGACAUAUAAAAGACCUUGAAGAGAUUCUUCAUUAGCCAUUUUGCACCUUUCUAUCUUAGUGUAUGUAGCUCCUUGUACUCUGUAUAUAUGUAAUAUAAAUAAGAGAAGAAUAAACAACGAAGUCCAAACAAGAAAAAACUGCCUCUCUCUCAUCAGUCUCAGUCCUGGGGAAAAGAACCCAGUCACCAGUGUCACAUCCUGACAGAGACAACCAGGCAGCAGGUCAUGGAGAAUCCUUGCAACCGCUUCUGUGAUUCCAGAGGGAGAAAUGAGCCUUGGUGUGUGUUUGUGAGCUGGGAGGCAGCCUUUUUCUCUCUACCGAUGGCAAAAAUUCCUCCAGGACAAGGAAGGACUGAUGCAAUGUUCAGAUUCUCACAGGAGCUGCCCACGUAGACGUUUUUGGGCUGUGGUUGAGGCUGCUCCACCCUGGGAUGGAAAAGGACCCUAGAGAGCCCCUGGUGUCUGAGACCCUGCCCACAGCCCGGCCUGAGCGUGUUGGGGAAAUGUGCUGCUGCCUUUGGAGAGAGCAGCUCCUGAGGGAGCCAUGCUCCAUAUGGAAUGUUUCAGUGGCAUAUGCCGUUAAUCCUGUGUGCUGAAUUAUUCAGCACUUCAGAAUAAUGAAUCACUGAACAAAGCCUGGCUGUGCAGCUCCACAGGCCUCUGCUGCCUGGUGCAGCGAUCCUGGUGGAUGCUGGGUGGGAG
RNAcentral lists this long non-coding RNA (1026 nucleotides) under Cyanistes caeruleus (blue tit). RNAcentral describes it as "lncRNA (ENSCCEG00000012680.1)". Lineage: Eukaryota; Metazoa; Chordata; Aves; Passeriformes; Paridae. The record is from RNAcentral.